GGGCGGGACAAGUGGCGCUGGUACUGUGACGGUUCAGGGAAAAAUUUACUCGCUGUCGUGCUAAGAACGUAGCGCAGGCAUCGUAUUGUGGAGAACAUUUAAAGUGAAAUAUCUGAAGGUCGACUAACCGUGGUCCCGAUAUUUACUUUUGGUGUGAUCUGCAUGAAGGCUACCAACGUUGUGGACGUUGUGAACGGAGAGGACGGACGGUCGGAGUGUCGACAAGACCCUGCUGUUUCUUCUUUCUUCCUUUCGCGGUUUUCCCCCCUGUGAUUCCUGCGGACGAGUGAUGAACUGCACAUCAUUUACCAGCUGCCCUUUGUGAUUGCUUUUGCACCAGUCCCCUCUGCUAACCACACAAACUGCUCAUUCGGAUUUUGUUUCCCAGAGACUAUGGGUUGAGGAGGAAUUGGAAGUUUGUCGGCUUAGACCUGGUGUCAUUCCAUCAGUGUUAAACUUCCCGGCUCAUCUUGGAAGAGUACGUGCCAGAAAGACCACGACCAAGCAGCCUUGAGAUCUUAGGCAGCGUCUCCCUGAGGUCCCUCUCUAUCUCCCCACACAUCCACCAACCACUGGAACACAUCUCCAAAGUUCUGCCGGGCCAGCUCAGCUUCCCCUCAGAAGAAGUUCCACCACCUGCCAGAUGAAGGAGCCUUUUGAGAGGCAGCCGGCAUCGUGAUUGGACUGUACUUUGGUCUGUUCCAAUCCAGCUUCAGCUCCAGAGACGGCAGGCGGGACGAGUCAACGGAGGCCGGGUGGACGAAGGCAUGCAGCUGAGUACAAUCCAGAAAACAACAGAGGAGUGCAUCGGCCCAGGGCAGAACAAACAGAGUAGCAUCAUAUGUCUCUUAGAAAACAUCAUAGUAUAGC
Long non-coding RNA from Amphiprion ocellaris (clown anemonefish), 870 nucleotides. Lineage: Eukaryota; Metazoa; Chordata; Actinopteri; Pomacentridae. The record is from Ensembl.